RNAcentral lists this long non-coding RNA (1533 nucleotides) under Scophthalmus maximus (turbot). RNAcentral describes it as "lncRNA (ENSSMAG00000023185.1)". The record is from RNAcentral. Lineage: Eukaryota; Metazoa; Chordata; Actinopteri; Pleuronectiformes; Scophthalmidae.
ACAAAAUUAACCGAACUGCAGGUGUGAAAACACCCGCAGACAUACGUAAAGAUGGACGACAUGACAGCUCCCCAAAAGUGGAGCCAAAAUAUCCGGAUUGCCCCCUGGUGGCUGGCUGCAGUAUAAACCCCGCCUCUUCCAUGUGAGUGGAUGGGACAUACGUAGUUCUUAUCGUAGUGAUGUAUGUUCAAGAGUUCAAAUGUUUCUGACAAGUUUGGUUUUAAUUACCUCAGCCAAGGAGAUUAUGUCUUCACCCCUUUGUCUGUUUCAAUCAGCAGGAUUACGCAUAAACCAAUGAACGGAUUGCCACGAAAUUCGGUGGAAGGAUGGGACGUGGCCUCGGACCCACGUUUUUUUUUUUUUUAAAAGUCACCUGGAUCUGCAUGUCUAGUAUGACACUCCCUACAAUUACUCACUUUCCAGCAUGCCUUGUGCCUUCCGGCCUACAAACAGAACCACAACCCUUCAGGGUGAAGCGAACAGCAAAGCCAACCAUAAAAUCAGCUGUAUGAAAGGCAAUUAUAUCUGCAGACCCACAAAGUGGGGGGGAACGGCCAUGUGAUAAAGUGGCAAAUGAAAAAACUGCAGAUAGGCGCCAUGGUAACGCGGCUCUCUCAGCGGCACAAACAAACGGCGCCGGAGCAGAAAUGGAGAGGUUGAGAGCGAAUGCUAAUCAUAAGAUGUUCUAAUGCACUUCCUCACGCUGACAAAACACAGACAUGCUCUUUAAACAGCCGUUGUCAGCGUCGCAGUCAGGACUGAAUUGAUAAUGUGUCUGUCUCUCCGCUUAGCGAUGGAAAAAAAAGCGAGGCGCAGGAGGAACAGUGGAGGCCAAAAAAAAAAAUCAAGUGUGAGAUCCUGUUCCCAGCUGUGCUUCACGUUCAUCUGGGAUCGCCCCCGGAUCAGAACCCGAGUGAGUGAUCAGGAGAAAGACCUGGAAGGAGAUGAGCAGGGAGCAGCGUCCGUCAGCCGCCUGUAAUCCAAGGCUCGGAUCUCACCAGCGUUACGGCGACGACAAACCAAAAGCACUUCCACAUGCUGUACUAGAAGUCCAAAGCCUGGUGCCAGAGCGACAGUUCGCCCCUCAGUUUUGGACUCCGGCCCGCUCCAAACCUCCCUGUUUUGGACAAUCCUCACCACGCUUCGCUUUUCAGUGAGAAGAAACACCACAGGUAUGCUGUGCAGCGACACACACACAGACACACACACGCACACACACACACCCAACGCAGACUUACGUCAGCGCGGAGGAACAUGACAGAAACUCGUUGCCGCGGGGAAAGUCACCGUUAAUAAGUAAUAGUCGUUUUCCAAGUCUCUUUAAUGACAAAUUGAUUGUAUGCCAUUAAAUUGCAAUGCAGAGAUGAUGCACCACGUCGACGUGUCUUACUCGUGGUCCCCACACAUCGUCCACAAAACACACACAGACUUUCCAAACCCGCUCACAACUUUUCUCGCAACUUUUUUAAAAAUUUGAUGUGAUUAAUCCGCGCAUCCACUCCCUUGGCCCUGUCUCUUUUGUGUUUAUCGUAG